CCAGCAGCUGCGGUAAUUCCAGCUCCAAUAGCGUAUAUUUAAGUUGUUGCAGUUAAAAAGCUCGUAGUUGGAUUUCGGGUGGGUGACAGCGGACCGGCUCUGCUGUGUACUGCUGUUGCCUUCCUUUCUGACGGGGACGGGCUCUUGGACUUCACUGUCCGGGACUCGGAGUCGGCGAGGUUACUUUGAAAAAAUUAGAGUGUUCAAAGCAGGCCUACGCUUGAAUACAUUAGCAUGGAAUAAUGGAAUAGGACUUUGGUGCUAUUCCGUUGGUUAAUGGGACCGAAGUAAUGAUUAAAAGGGACAGUUGGGGCCGUUUAUAUUUCGUUGUCAGAGGUGAAAUUCUUGGAUUUACGAAAGAUAAACUUCUGCGAAAGCAUUCGGCAAGGAUGUUUUCAUCGAUCAAGAACGAAAGU
Molecule: ribosomal RNA, 416 nt
Filed under: uncultured eukaryote
Lineage: Eukaryota
Description: SSU rRNA
Rfam family: Eukaryotic small subunit ribosomal RNA
Source: RNAcentral